UACGGAGGGUGCAAGCGUUGUUCGGAAUUACUGGGCGUAAAGGGCGCGUAGGCGGCCUGCCAAGUCAGAUGUGAAAGCCCACGGCUCAACCGUGGAAGUGCAUCUGAAACUGGUAGGCUAGAGUAUCGGAGGGGAAAGUGGAAUUCCCGGUGUAGAGGUGAAAUUCGUAGAUAUCGGGAGGAACACCAGUGGCGAAGGCGACUUUCUGGACGGAUACUGACGCUGAGGCGCGAAAGCGUGGGGAGCAAACAGG
Molecule: ribosomal RNA, 253 nt
Filed under: uncultured bacterium
Lineage: Bacteria
Description: partial 16S ribosomal RNA
Rfam family: Bacterial small subunit ribosomal RNA
Source: RNAcentral